Molecule: transfer RNA, 85 nt
Filed under: Gemmatimonadaceae bacterium
Lineage: Bacteria; Pseudomonadati; Gemmatimonadota; Gemmatimonadia; Gemmatimonadales; Gemmatimonadaceae
Also listed under: 1 other name
Description: tRNA-Leu
Rfam family: tRNA
About the family: Transfer RNA (tRNA) molecules are approximately 80 nucleotides in length.
Source: RNAcentral
GCCCGGGUGGCGGAAUUGGUAGACGCAGGGGACUCAAAAUCCCCCGGCCCUCGCGGCCUUGCGGGUUCGAGUCCCGCCCUGGGCA